AGGGCGCUAAAUGGAUGCCUAGACGUAUAUUACCGAUGAAGGACGUGGAAGACUGCGAUAAGCUUCGGGAAGCUGUCAACAAGCUUUGAUCCGGAGAUCUCCGAAUGGGGAAACCCAGCAUGAGUCAUGUCAUGUUGCCACUUGCUGAACACAUAGGCAAGCGAGCGGGAACCAUCUGAACUGAAACAUCUUAGUAGGAUGAGGAAGAGAAAGUAAAUAACGAUUGCGAAAGUAGUGGCGAGCGAAAUCGCAACAGCCCAAACCUUUUAAGUUUUUGCCUAUUAAUUUAGGCAAAUAAGUUGAUAGACGAAUACUUAUAAGGGGUUGUGAUAUUACAUAUGACCAAGUCAGAGAAUUUGAUUCAUUCAAAUAAUCUGAUUUGCGAUAACUGGCUAUCAACAGUUAGUAAGGUAAGAAAUCGGCGUGGUUAGUAGAAUAGUUUGAAUGACUAGCCAAAGAACGUGAAAGCCGUGUAUAUGAAAACGACGCUGACCUUAUGUAUGUUUUAUCGAGUAGGACGGGGCACGAGAAACCCUGUUUGAAUCUGGCUGGACCACCAGCCAAGGCUAAAUAUAGUAUACGAUCGAUAGUGAACUAGUACAGUGAUGGAAAGGUGAAAAGAACCCCGGGAGGGGAGUGAAAUAGAUCCUGAAAUUUAGUGCCUACAAGGAGUCGGAGCCGGCUUGUCCGGUGACGGCGUGCUUUUUGUAGAACGAUCCAGCGAGUUAAUUUUUACAGCGAGGUUAAGUCAAUUGACGGAGCCACAGUGAAAGCGAGCCUGAAUAGGGCGAUUAAGUUGUAAGGAUUAGACCCGAAACCGGGUGACCUAACCAUGAGCAGGUUGAAGCCACUGUAACAGGUGGUGGAGGACCGAACCAGGAUACGCAGCAAAGUGUUUGGAUGACUUGUGGUUAGCGGUGAAAUGCCAAUCGAACUCGGAGAUAGCUGGUUCUCCUCGAAAUAGCUUUAGGGCUAGCGUCGUGUUAGUAGCACAUGGGGGUAGAGCUCUGUAAAGGACUGGGGCGGGCAACUGUACCCACCCUUAACAAACUACGAAUACCAUGUGUGUAAUCACGGCAGUUAGAACAUCGGUGCUAAGAUCGGUGCUCAAAAGGGAAACAGCCCAGACCAUCAUCUAAGGUCCCUAAAUUAACGUUCAGUGGGAAACAAGGUGAGAUUUCUUAAACAGCUAGGAUGUUGGCUUAGAAGCAGCCAUUCAUUUAAAGAGUGCGUAACAGCUCACUAGUCAAGAGAUUUUGCGUGGAAAAUGUAACGGGGCUAAAGUGUUAAACCGAAGACAUGGACUUCAUAUUUUAUGGAGUGGUAGAGGAGCGUUGAUAUCGCAGUGAAGUCAGAUUGUAAAGUCUGGUGGAGCGUUAUCAAGUGAGAAUGCUGGAAUCAGUAACCUUAAGACAGGUGAGAAUCCUGUCGGUCGUAAGAGCAAGGUUUCCAGGGCUACAGUAAUUGUCCCUGGGUUAGUCGGUCCUAAGCCGAGGCGCAUCAGCGUAGGCGAUGGACAACAGGUUAAUAUUCCUGUACAGGUAGUAGUUGUUAACAGUUCACGGUGAGUGACUAGAGCGGAUUAAUGGUUUAUCCGUCCAAGGCUUCAAGGAAUUGAAGUUGAGUGAAAGAUAUUCUUCGGAAUAUUGAUUCUGGGUACAACGCUGGCUAGAAAAGCUGAUUAACUUAUGCUGCUGCCUACCGUACCGCAAACCAACACCGGUGCUCGGGUCGAGUAGACCAAGACCUACGUGAGAACCUUCGCUAAGGAACUCGGCAAAAAAGCGUCCGUAACUUCGGAAUAAGGACUGCCCUCUCAUUAAGAUGAGGAUUUGCUAGAAACUUGGUGGAAACAUAAGGUUAAUAGUAUUUACCUAAUAAUUUAACCAAAUUUUUCGUCAAGACAGAACACAUCAGGAAAUAUCCUGUGAUAUCUUUUCUAGUAACUCAAUCGUCAUUUUGAUGAGAGGGUCGCAGCUAAAGAGCCCACGGAACUGUUUAACAAAAACAUAGGUCUCUGCUAACGCGAAAGCGGAUGUAUAGGGGCUGACUCCUGCCCGGUGUCGGAAGGUUAAGGGGAGAGCUUUACGGUUCGAACUGAAGCCCCGAUGAACGGCGGCGAUAACUAUGAUCGUCCUAAGGUAGCGAAAUUCCUUGUCUGGUAAGUUCAGACCCGCACGAAUGGAGUAAUCAUGUGGGCACUGUCUCGGCGAAGGCCACGGUGAACGUGCAUUGGCGGUAAAGAUGCCGUCUGAUCAUGCCAGGACGAGAAGACCCCAUGGAGCUUUACUACAACUUUGCAUUGAUUAUUGGGACAUUUUGUGUAGAAUAGGUGGAAGACUUUGAAGCAGAUACGCUAGUAUUUGUGGAGUCGAAAUGUGAAAUACCACCCUGAAUGUUUUAGUAAUCUCACUUUUGACCUUAUCGGCCAAGAGGACCGUGCAUGGCGGGUAGUUUAACUGGGGCGGUUGCCUCCUAAAGAGUAGCGGAGGCGUUCA
RNAcentral lists this ribosomal RNA (2498 nucleotides) under human oral metagenome. Its description in RNAcentral is "bacterial LSU rRNA". It matches the Rfam family "Bacterial large subunit ribosomal RNA", at positions 14 to 2312 of the family's 2925-position model. The record is from RNAcentral.